UACAGGGGGUGCAAACGUUGCUCGGAAUUAUUGGGCGUAAAGCGCGUGUAGGCGGCUACCUAAGUCGGAUGUGAAAGCCCCUGGCUUAACUGGGGAAGUGCACCCGAAACUGAGUAGCUAGAGUGCAAAAGAGGGUCGCGGAAUUCUCGGUGUAGCAGUGAAAUGCGUAGAUAUCGAGAGGAACACCAGUGGCGAAGGCGAGUCCCUGGACAACACCUGACACUGAGGCACGAAAGCCGGGGGAGCAAACAGG
RNAcentral lists this ribosomal RNA (253 nucleotides) under uncultured bacterium. Its description in RNAcentral is "partial 16S ribosomal RNA". It matches the Rfam family "Bacterial small subunit ribosomal RNA", at positions 524 to 776 of the family's 1533-position model. The record is from RNAcentral.